CCAUAGGAGUGCCUUUAAUUAUUCGGAUGAUAACUGAAACGUCCUGUUCUAUCAUAGAGUCUCCAGGCUGAGUCAAAGGGCUGGGCCAACAAGCUCUGAGAAAAGGUGUGAUUGAGGCCCCUUUUCUUUCAUAAACCCGACUUAACCUGGACCAGCCAGGUGUGGUGAUGGGUGUCUACAAUAAAUACUCCUACGUUGUCUAUGGUGUGAUAUAAACUCCAGUUCAUGGUCUUAGGAACAGCAGCUCUGAACACACCAACUCAGCUGGGAUUCGAACCCACAACCUUUGGCUACAGCCAUCUGUGUUCUUACAGCCUGAGCUAACAUGCCACUUACCAAAUGAGAACCAACAUGACUUUAAAGUUAUCACUAUUGGUGUAUGAAAUGUCACUGACAUCACCACAUAAUU
Molecule: long non-coding RNA, 409 nt
Organism: Sinocyclocheilus rhinocerous
Lineage: Eukaryota; Metazoa; Chordata; Actinopteri; Cypriniformes; Cyprinidae
Exons: 3
Source: RefSeq, a predicted model, not a curated record